Molecule: long non-coding RNA, 1278 nt
Organism: Hypomesus transpacificus
Lineage: Eukaryota; Metazoa; Chordata; Actinopteri; Osmeriformes; Osmeridae
Exons: 3
Source: RefSeq, a predicted model, not a curated record
CACGAACGCGACGCAUGCACACAUGGAUAUGUUUCACUGAUGCUAUUGACAGACAUAUGUACAUUGUGAGCAUACCAGGUGACAGACAAGACAACCCAGCUGCUGGUCUUUGAUUCCCUGCAGAAACUGAUCCUGCUAAGGACAGAUUUGAACAGGCCUCGACGGCUCCACGCAGGUGACAUCUGCUCUGAAAGCCCUGCGUUGGAGUGGACCGCAGACAAGCAGGCUUUACCCGAGGACAGAGUGGGGGCUGGGUGCAGGGAGGCAGACAGGCAAUGUUUCAAGAAGGGCUUCUCCCAUCCAGAUCCUUUUUCAAAACAUCUAUCUAAUGUGUAGAAUGGAUCCAGUUCCAUUUGAAAAGAGGAAGUGCAUUUGUAGCACUGCUGUAGUCCAUUUCUACGUCAGUGUUCUACAUUUUCUGCUUCCUGAGCAGGUCCCUGUCUCCCAGGUAGAACGAGGCAGUUACAUCAACAGUCAUUCAGGAAAGACAAGCCCCAGGCAUUUGCAUAUUUCAUCAGUAACCUCUUUAACUGUCAUGAGGAACAUAACAGACCCCUGAGGCCAGCACUAGAACAGCACUAGCAGUUUAACAGGCAGCACAGAUGCAAUCAUGUUUUUCUACCCACACCAACGAUUAUCAAAAUGUUAUGUCAGUUAUGAAGCAAAAGAGAGAUACUGUAAGGUACAACCUAUUAGAUUAUGGUGUGUGUACAGGUUGCAUGGCCUCAUUUGUCAAAAGUGUGCAUGCUAUAUUUUUUUUAUGUUGGUGGUUGUGGUACUGUAUGUGGGCUGGACCAGUGAGACAACAAGGAUGUGUUGUUAGUCAUGUUCAUAUUUGAUACCUAAAUGUCUGUUCAAACUAUGGCCAUUAUGUUUUAUUUUCGUUUCCAUCCUUCUGGUACACAGGGAUAGGUUCCUCGUGGAACAAAUAUGUGGAGGUUUUCAAUUGGAGGUGUACUGUAGGGUGUAGUCUGGCAGUCCUCAGAGCGGUGGAGGUAACCAGGAUACAGCAGGCUAGAAGAGCUCCUUCCUCUGGCUCUAAACAAAUAUUUACUGGAGCAUAGUCAAAUAGGCAGGGAGCUGGAGUUCUCUGAUGUUGUAAUGUAAUGGGACAGCUUUCCUUAUGCACUGCGUACUGGUUCAUAAAAAGGACAUUCUAGCAUAUGUGUGUUGGAGCACCUGAGCUACGAGUUUAGAAUGCAAUCUCAUGAAUUUCCAUUUCUGAUGUGUAAAUGUUAACGCUCAUCAGAUGGGAUAGUGCUUGCCAUCUUCAGCAAG